This 1395-nucleotide long non-coding RNA is filed under the name Sus scrofa (pig). Its description in RNAcentral is "lncRNA (ENSSSCG00025020031.1)". The record is from RNAcentral. Lineage: Eukaryota; Metazoa; Chordata; Mammalia; Artiodactyla; Suidae.
CCUCACUCUGCCAGGGCAGGUUUCAGGAAGACACUCAGGCCGAAGGCACUUGGGAAACCAGUGUCCCUGAGCCGUCCCUCUGGGGGCAGCAAGUCUUUGCACGUUGGCCAAGAGAUAAUUUUUUUAAAAACUUUUAUUUGGAGACAAAGAAUGCAUGGGAGCAGGUGCAUAGGGUCAGGGAGAGAACAGGGCCUACACUGCAAAGCAGAAAACAGACAAGUUAAUGGACCUGAUCCUGCUUUAGUCUUGAUUAGGACUCAGCAAACUUUCUCUGUAAGGGGCCAGCAGUAAAUAUUUUAGGUUUCAUGGUCCAUACCAUCUCCACUGCACCUACUCAGCUCCGCCCUUGUAGCAUGAAAGCUGCUGUAGACAACACAGGACCAAUGAGCGUGGCUGCCUCCCCAGAACCGUUUGCCCAACAGGCAGAGUGCAAGCAGCAGUGUGUUUAGAGUGCUGUUGCUUUCUAGGGUGAUGAAAGAUUAUCUAACUACCUGUGAUGUUAGAAGCCAGACCUACAAAGACACAGAGUCCAAGGCAUGUAGAGAAUAGGUCCAGAGAAGUAGUCUUGUCACCAGGAGGCUUCCAGAGUUAUCAAUAGCAAGGAUUUCUGCCCUGGUCAGAGCAUUACAUUUGCUUUUGUCCCCAUGAUACAGUUCAGGCAAUGUUGGAAAGAUCAGAUUGAUGAGCCACUAAGUGACUAUAGCUCUAAAAAUAGGAUUGUAAAGAUAGCGUCCGAUGGUUGGCAAACCGUGGCCUGUUUAGUUGGCCUCUUUCUGUAGAGCCCGCAACCUAAGAAUGGCUUCUACAUUCUCACAGGGUGGGAAAUACCAGCAGGAGGAGGAGGAGGCAGAGCUGGAGGAAGAAGAGGAGCUGGAGGAGGAAGAGAAAGAAGGAGGUGCAGGAGCUGGAGGGGGGAGGGGCAGCUGGAGGAGGGCGGGGAGAUGGAGGAGGAGGAGAAGGAAGAGAAGGAGGAGGUACAGGAGAUAAGAAGAACCAGAACAGCAAGAGCAGCCGGGAGGAGGGGGAGGCACGACCCUGAGACCGUGUCCCUGGAAGCCUCACCUCCUUGCUAUUGGCCGGGGCGGAGGAAGCCCGCCUUCCGGCUGGAGAGCGCAGAGACCACGUUGCCAGAAGACUGCUGGGACCUGGUCCAUCAGAGAAGGCAGGUGUCAGACCCGCCCGCCGUGCUUCCUGACGCAGCACAAAGAAGGGGAAGCUUGCAUCAUUAAGGUGGGCUUGUGGGGGAGGAAUUCCCUUCCCACGUUUAUUCCAGAAGAGAGAAAUGUUUUAAACCGCGACAAAUUGCCAUGUCUGUGGGUACAGAGCCCUUCCCAGAAGAAUGUGAUUUACAUUCACGCUUCUGCCGUUUGGCAGGAGCAGAUUUUCUGUCAUGCG